GACGAACGCUGGCGGCGUGCUUAACACAUGCAAGUCGAACGGAAAGGCCCUGCUUUUGUGGGGUGCUCGAGUGGCGAACGGGUGAGUAACACGUGAGUAACCUGCCCUUGACUUUGGGAUAACUUCAGGAAACUGGGGCUAAUACCGGAUAGGAGCUCCUGCUGCAUGGUGGGGGUUGGAAAGUUUCGGCGGUUGGGGAUGGACUCGCGGCUUAUCAGCUUGUUGGUGGGGUAGUGGCUUACCAAGGCUUUGACGGGUAGCCGGCCUGGGAGGGUGACCGGCACCAUGGGGAUGAGGGAAGGGCCAGGAUCCUACGGGAGGCAGCAGUGGGGAAUAUUGCACAAUGGGCGGAAGCCUGAUGCAGCAACGCCGCGUGCGGGAUGACGGCCUUCGGGUUGUAAACCGCUUUCGCCUGUGACGAAGCGUGAGUGACGGUAAUGGGUAAAGAAGCACCGGCUAACUACGUG
This 467-nucleotide ribosomal RNA is filed under the name uncultured bacterium. RNAcentral's name for it is "partial 16S ribosomal RNA". It matches the Rfam family "Bacterial small subunit ribosomal RNA", at positions 28 to 507 of the family's 1533-position model. The record is from RNAcentral.